GACGAACGCUGGCGGCGUGCUUAACACAUGCAAGUCGAACGGAAAGGCCCUGCUUGCAGGGUACUCGAGUGGCGAACGGGUGGGUAACACGUGGGUGAUCUGCCCUGCACUUCGGGAUAAGCCUGGGAAACUGGGUCUAAUACCGGAUAUGACCUUCCAUGUAGUGUGGGGGGUGGAAAGAUUUAUCGGUGUGGGAUGAGCCCGCGGCCUAUCAGCUUGUUGGUGGGGUAAUGGCCUACCAAGGCGUCGACGGGUAGCCGGCCUGAGAGGGUGGACGGCCACAUUGGGACUGAGAUACGGCCCAGACUCCUACGGGAGGCAGCAGUGGGGAAUAUUGCACAAUGGGCGGAAGCCUUAUGCAGCGACGCCGCGUGGGGGAUGACGGCCUUCGGGUUGUAAACCUCUUUCGACAGGGACGAAGCUUCGGUGACGGCACCUGUAUAAGAAGCACCGGCUAACUACGUG
RNAcentral lists this ribosomal RNA (465 nucleotides) under uncultured bacterium. RNAcentral's name for it is "partial 16S ribosomal RNA". It matches the Rfam family "Bacterial small subunit ribosomal RNA", at positions 28 to 507 of the family's 1533-position model. The record is from RNAcentral.